Molecule: ribosomal RNA, 407 nt
Filed under: uncultured prokaryote
Also listed under: 1 other name
Description: bacterial SSU rRNA
Rfam family: Bacterial small subunit ribosomal RNA
Source: RNAcentral
UGGGGGAUAUUGCACAAUGGGCGAAAGCCUGAUGCAGCAACGCCGCGUGAGGGAAGAAGGUCUUCGGAUUGUAAACCUCUGUCCUUGGUGACGAAAAAAAUGACGGUAGCCGAGGAGGAAGCCACGGCUAACUACGUGCCAGCAGCCGCGGUAAUACGUAGGUGGCAAGCGUUGUCCGGAUUUACUGGGUGUAAAGGGAGCGCAGGCGGGAAGAUAAGUCAGACGUGAAAACUAUGGGCUUAACCCAUAACGUGCGUUUGAAACUGUUUUUCUUGAGUGAAGUAGAGGUAGGCGGAAUUCCGAGUGUAGCGGUGAAAUGCGUAGAUAUUCGGAGGAACACCAGUGGCGAAGGCGGCCUACUGGGCUUUUACUGACGCUGAGGCUCGAAAGUGUGGGGAGCAAACAGG